AGUGAACGCUGGCGGUAGGCCUAACACAUGCAAGUCGAACGGCAGCACAGUAAGAGCUUGCUCUUACGGGUGGCGAGUGGCGGACGGGUGAGGAAUACAUCGGAAUCUACUUUUUCGUGGGGGAUAACGUAGGGAAACUUACGCUAAUACCGCAUACGACCUACGGGUGAAAGCAGGGGAUCUUCGGACCUUGCGCGAUUGAAUGAGCCGAUGUCGGAUUAGCUAGUUGGCGGGGUAAAGGCCCACCAAGGCGACGAUCCGUAGCUGGUCUGAGAGGAUGAUCAGCCACACUGGAACGGAGACACGGUCCAGACUCCUACGGAAGGAGGCGGUGGGAAAUUUUGGACAAUGGGCGCAAGCCUGAUCCAGCCAUACCGCGUGGGUGAAGAAGGCCUUCGGGUUGUAAAGCCCUUUUGUUGGGAAAGAAAGGCGGCAGUUUAUUACCCCCCUGUUCUGACGGUACCCAAAGAAUAGCACCGGCUAACUUCGUG
RNAcentral lists this ribosomal RNA (491 nucleotides) under uncultured bacterium. Its description in RNAcentral is "partial 16S ribosomal RNA". It matches the Rfam family "Bacterial small subunit ribosomal RNA", at positions 29 to 507 of the family's 1533-position model. The record is from RNAcentral.